Molecule: ribosomal RNA, 433 nt
Filed under: uncultured bacterium
Lineage: Bacteria
Description: partial 16S ribosomal RNA
Rfam family: Bacterial small subunit ribosomal RNA
Source: RNAcentral
AACGAACGCUGGCGGCAUGCCUAACACAUGCAAGUCGAACGAGACCUUCGGGUCUAGUGGCGCACGGGUGCGUAACGCGUGGGAACCUGCCCUUAGGUUCGGAAUAACUCCCCGAAAGGGGUGCUAAUACCGGAUAAUGUCUUCGGACCAAAGAUUUAUCGCCUUUGGAUGGGCCCGCGUUGGAUUAGCUAGUUGGUAGGGUAAAAGCCUACCAAGGCGACGAUCCAUAGCUGGUCUGAGAGGAUGAUCAGCCACACUGGGACUGAGACACGGCCCAGACUCCUACGGGAGGCAGCAGUGGGGAAUAUUGGACAAUGGGCGAAAGCCUGAUCCAGCAAUGCCGCGUGAGUGAUGAAGGCCUUAGGGUUGUAAAGCUCUUUUACCCGGGAUGAUAAUGACAGUACCAGGAGAAUAAGCACCGGCUAACUCCGUG